ACAGACAGGUUUUUGGUUUGAUCACCGAUUUUUGAAAAAAUGACCUGGCAUCCCUGGCAUCAGAGUAUGGUAAACAAACAUUCGGGCAUUUAACAUCGAGUAAAACUUGGUUUCCUUAUCGUAGUGUAAUAUUCUGAUCGUUGAUUGUGGGGAAGUGCGAAUGAUGCUGGCCACAGUUACAUGACGUCAUAGCAGGCGGCUGAUUAAAAUAUCAAUAAAAUCACGAAGUCAAUAUUUUAACUAUCGAUAUCUGAGCAAAAUAAGUAUUGAAAAGGGUUUUAUCGAUAGUCUCUGUGGACGAUCAAUCAUGUUAAGGAUUCAUCUAAAAAUGGGACCGUCAUUAAGAAGCAAGGAAUGGACUUGUUGUUUCGGACUUCAUGUUCGCACAGCGACGAUUAUAAUUGGACUGUGGCAUUUGUUUCUGAAUGUUCUUGCAUUAUGUAUAUUGUCGGUGAUUAUCAGAACAAAUAAUUAUCACCUUUUACUCGACGAUGUAAAUGAUGACGAUAAUGGAAACGAAUCAAUCGCUCCAAUAUUACCCACGCCUCUAAGCAAAGUCGAUCCUCCUUAUGCUUACCGUGACCAUUUUCAGCAAACUGGGCUACGCAACAAUGAUGCUGAUAUGAGUGGUCUGGUGUUCUUGUGCAUGAUUGCAGUAACACUUAUGUUAAUAUAUGGUGCUGUUAAAGGAAAACCUUCGCAUUUGUUACCGUUUUUCUGUUUGCAGAUUUUUGACUUCGCUAUUGUUACGCUUACCGCUGCAGGUCACUUGUGCUACAUAAGAUCGAUGCAUCUUUGGAUAGUUGAUAGUCAAAAUCGACUCCCAUGGCGAGAAGAACUUCUGAAAAUAAACCCAAAAAUCUUGUCGUUGUUUGUACUGAUGGGUUUCUUAUUCUUCAUUCUGCUCAAAUUAUAUGCAAUUGGAAUAGUAUGGCGUUGUUACAAAUGUUUGAAUUUGCGUCAACAUAACAUACGUUCUAUGGUACCAUACAUAAUUCCGGACACACAUGAUAUUCCAAAUCUUCGUCAAGAACCAGACAAUUUGCUUUUGCCAGGAUACGAUGAAGCUAUUGCAAAUGGAAUUAAGCAAGCGCCUCCGCCGUCAUAUAUCGUUGCAAUUUCAAUGAAUAACAAAAUAACUACUCAACCUGUUCCGGUAGAAUCACAAGUCAUAGAAGCAAUCAAUAACAGCGAUUACAUCUGUUUGAAUACUCAUUCUCAUAACUCCUGCGAUAAUGCAUCCAAUGUAACCACUGAAAGUUUCGAUAAUGUUUCGAUUAUAUCAAAUGAACCAGUUACAAAAGAUCGUGAACGUCAAAAUGAAACAAGUAGGGUAUAAAUAUGACUUUCUCAAUUCAGGAAAUCCAGAAACAGCUGGACUAUUAUAAAGCACAAUUUGCUAUGCUGAGUAUCAAGCCGAAUCCAGAAACACAACCCAUGCCGCUCGAAAAUCUACCAAAGAGUGAGAAAUAUCGAUCCAGUCCGGAUUUUAUGAUUACUGAUGAAAUUGAUUCCUGGACAACCGAAUAACGAUCUGGAGGAAACAACUUGAAAUGAAGAUAUGAUCAACGCAGAUACAUUUUACCGCCGUUUCUAUACUAAGAGUGUUACUACCAAUGUAGUCUCGUAUUCAUAUAAACCUAGUAAAUAUAAAUCAUUUGUUCCCUUCA
This is an RNA transcript of Malaya genurostris, 1670 nucleotides long. It is a transcript of the gene named lysosomal-associated transmembrane protein 4B, with no coding region annotated. The transcript is spliced from 9 exons. Lineage: Eukaryota; Metazoa; Arthropoda; Insecta; Diptera; Culicidae. The record is from RefSeq and is a predicted model, not a curated record.